Molecule: long non-coding RNA, 2484 nt
Filed under: Cicer arietinum (chickpea)
Lineage: Eukaryota; Viridiplantae; Streptophyta; Magnoliopsida; Fabales; Fabaceae
Description: long non-coding RNA (CARI_LNC003020)
Source: RNAcentral
ACACAUAUACAUUUCACAUAAUAAAUUAAUUGUCGAUAUGAUCAUAAUCAUUGUUGUCAUUUGAUUAGUGAAUGAGUCGUUAUCUUCAUCAUCCUCUAGUUCUUCUAUUUCUUGUUCAUUAAUAUUUUUUCAGUGUUUGACUCAUGACAAAGUCGACUAAUAAUCUCAUCUCCAAUCACAUGAUCCUUAUUUGACAUUUCAUCAAUCUAAUAUGAAACUUCUUCGUCCUCUGUUUCCUCUUCGUCCUCUGUUUCAUCUUCGUCAAUUCGACUCAUUGGUCUUGUUUUGAUUGGAGCACACCAACUUUGUUUGUUUCUUAUUAUGGAUGGAUAAGGAACAUAACACACUUGUAUUAUACUAUGGGCCAUCGUGAAUAGAUCAAACAAUGAGUAUCUUUUGCUGAAACGAAUGUCUACAAUAAAUCAACACCACUGUUUUCGCAUAAUAUCUAGGAAUGCGUAGUGAAUUUCACAAAGGGUUAAAUAUAUUUUAGUCCCUAUAAAAUUUCAAUAUUUCAAUUUUAGUCAAUAUAAAAUAAAAAUACAAUUUUUAGUCCUUAUAAAAUUAUCCAACAAGUAGUUCUAGUCCUCGCUAAAAUGAAACAUGUUUAAUUGUCUUUUCAUCUUGAAAAUAUUUGGAAUUUUUUCUUCUAACAUGUUUAGAACAUUAUAAAAUGUUUAUCCACAAAAAUUUAAAAAAUUUUAAAUUGGGAAGAAUUAAAUAUGAAUUUUUUAAUUGUAAAAAAUUAAAGAUAAAAGGGAUUGAAAACAUGUACCUAGAAAUUGAAUGUUUAGGUUAUUUCUUGGGGAGGAACUUUUAUAUGAUGUUGUGAACAUGCUUGGAAAAAUUCACUUAAAAAUAUUUGUUAACUUUACAUUAGGGACUAAAAGUACAUGCAUGAUAAUUUUGUAUGAAUUAAAAAUUACAUUUUUAUUUUACAAGGACUGAAUUGAAAUAUUGAAAUUUUAUAGGGAUUAAAGAUAUAUUUAACCCUUUCAUAAAUAUGUUCAAUUAUAUCAUAAAAGUUUUCUAUUACACCACUAUCAAACACACUCUUCAUACAUACUCAACUAUUUAUUGUUUCUUUUCCUUUAGUUCAAGAUUCAAUAUGAAAUUUGUUCAUUUGACAUAAUAGAUGUGGCUUUCUCUGAAGUUUUUACUUAGGCCUAUAGAUAAGUGGAUGUUGAUAGGAGUUGGUUCUUGGAGAUGUACUUGUUGUUGAAACCAUAAUAGAAAAUUUGAAUGUAUACCAACAAAAGAUUGUCAUGAAGUUAAAAAUGUCCUUAUCGAUUAGCUUAUAUGUUGUUUAUUAAAAUUAAAAAUACUAUGCGUUGUCAACAUUAAUUUAAAUUAUUAAGUAAAGAUUGAGAUGGAUAUAAAUCAUAUUCAAUGUAUGAUUUCACAUGUGUUGCAUUAAAUACUGUCACUUGGUCAAAAAAUUAGCAUAUCCCUACCAACAUUAUGACUAGACAGACAAAAGACUAGUAAAGCAUGUGGAUGACGUAUAAUAGUAUUGUUCCUUUCAUUUAUUGGUGACAUUGUGUCAUCGUUGAAAUAAUGAGAACAAAAGUGUGUUAUUUUAGGGUAUAGGUAAGAUGAACAAAUUGAGUCUUCAACUCUAACUUUAUUUUUUACCAAUCGUUUUGAAUAAGAUAAAGGAGAUGUACAAUAGGUUCGCUUGCAAGAUUCACCGAGAAUGCUCCAUAGAAUCAAAAAAAUCAAAGGUAAUAUUUUCUCCAACCUACAUAGUCAUGUGGAUACCAACUGAUGCACAAUAUAAAGAAGAAAAUCACCGAAAAACAGAAAAGAGUAAAAGAACUCAAGGUCAAAAUUUCAAAUUCAUCUUACAGUUCAAAGAGAGAAACACUAGUUCAAGUUAGAAAUAUUGUUUGAGUAUUCUUUUCUUAGAGUGUGAAAGUUAUUAUUAUUAUGAACUUUUUUAGAAGCAAACACUUAAAGUUCCAAUAUUUUGUAUCCAACUCGAUAGUUGUUUAGUUUUUUCUUCAAUCUGGGGUUGUCAGGUUGUUAGGAGAAGACUUGACUUGUAGGGUCAAGGUGGUUAGUUCCUUCUUCAAUAUGGGGUUGUUAGGCUGUUAAGAAAAGACUUGGCUUGUAGGGUCAAAGUGGUUAGUUCCUCAAAAUUCGGGGGUUUUCAAGCUGUUUGGGAAGACUGGCUUGGAGGGUCAGGUUCUUUGUAAUUCAAGGUAUUUGAAUUCGUGGAUUAAAGCCUUCUAAAUGUGGGAACUGGAUGUAGUCAAGUUAGUAGUGAACCAGGAUAAAUCUAUGCGUCCAAUUAUUUAUGUUUUUAUUAUUUGUUGUCUCUGAAUCCAAUUGUUUCUUAUAUAAGUAUUUCAUAAAAACCAAUCAACUUGCAUUAAAUUAGCAAAAAAUUAUCAAUUUUGGCAAACAAAAUUCAACCUCCUUCUCGUGUUUGCACCUUCAACUACUUUUGCUAUAAUAUUUUGAAUUAUAAAUAUUUUUUUG